UACGUAGGUGGCAAGCGUUAUCCGGAAUUAUUGGGCGUAAAGCGCGCGCAGGUGGUUUCUUAAGUCUGAUGUGAAAGCCCACGGCUCAACCGUGGAGGGUCAUUGGAAACUGGGAAACUUGAGUGCAGAAGAGGAAAGUGGAAUUCCAAGUGUAGCGGUGAAAUGCGUAGAGAUUUGGAGGAACACCAGUGGCGAAGGCGACUUUCUGGUCUGCAACUGACACUGAGGCGCGAAAGCGUGGGGAGCAAACAGG
RNAcentral lists this ribosomal RNA (253 nucleotides) under uncultured bacterium. Its description in RNAcentral is "partial 16S ribosomal RNA". It matches the Rfam family "Bacterial small subunit ribosomal RNA", at positions 524 to 776 of the family's 1533-position model. The record is from RNAcentral.